RNAcentral lists this ribosomal RNA (497 nucleotides) under uncultured bacterium. RNAcentral describes it as "partial 16S ribosomal RNA". It matches the Rfam family "Bacterial small subunit ribosomal RNA", at positions 28 to 507 of the family's 1533-position model. The record is from RNAcentral.
GACGAACGCUGGCGGCGUGCCUAAUACAUGCAAGUCGAGCGCUGAAGGUUGGUUCUUGUACCCACUGGAUGAGCAGCGCACGGGUGAGUAACGCGUGGGGACUCUGCCUUUGAGCGGGGGACCACCUUUGGACACGAAUGCUAAUACCGCAUAAAAACUUUCAACACAAGUUUUAUGUUUGAAAGAUGCAAUUGCAUCACUCAAAGAUGAUUCCUCGUUGUAUUAGCUAGUUGGUGGGGUACAGGCUCAUCAAGGCGAUGUUAGCUAGCCGACCGGACAGGGUGAGUGGCCACAUUGGGAGGGAGACACGGCCCAAACGCCUAGGGGAGGGAGCAGUACGGAAUCGUCAGGAAUGGACGAAAGGCUGACCAAGCAAGGCGGCGGGAGUGAAGAAGGAUGCCGGGUCGUAAAACUCUGUUUGUAGAGAGGAACGUUGGUGAGAGUGGAAGGCUCAGCAAGUGACGGUAACGAGCCAGAAAGGGACGGCUAACUACGUG